Molecule: regulatory RNA element, 104 nt
Organism: Salinibacter ruber DSM 13855
Lineage: Bacteria; Pseudomonadati; Rhodothermota; Rhodothermia; Rhodothermales; Salinibacteraceae
Rfam family: TPP riboswitch aptamer (THI element)
About the family: Vitamin B(1) in its active form thiamin pyrophosphate (TPP) is an essential coenzyme that is synthesised by coupling of pyrimidine and thiazole moieties in bacteria.
Source: Rfam
GGAUGAAGCUAGGGGUGUUCGGCGCCGCACGGCGGCCGGGCUGAGAGAGUCCCUCCGAACCUGAUCCGGGUCAUGCCGGCGCAGGAAAGCACAGUUCUCCCCCG